This is an RNA transcript of Triticum dicoccoides, 1946 nucleotides long. RefSeq lists it as uncharacterized. Lineage: Eukaryota; Viridiplantae; Streptophyta; Magnoliopsida; Poales; Poaceae. The transcript is spliced from 3 exons. The record is from RefSeq and is a predicted model, not a curated record.
CUUUAUGGUUGAACAGAAGAUGGGCUGACUCCAGCGAAGUUGAACCGUUGAGCACGACUGCGGAAGCGAUUGCAUGCCUUGUAAGCCAUAGAUGUUCAUAUGAUCUUGAAUUAGCUGCUUUUUGGUUUCACCAAUCAUCGAUUUGGGUCGUGAUCCGCUCAUCGAGACAUCGACCCUUGUUGUGCCCGCCUCGUUCUCGAACCUCGAUCCGGGUCAGGAAACGCACAAACGACCAUCGAACCCGGCUACUAUGGGUUCUCGAAUCCCUAGCCUCUCAUUUCCUCCCACACGCCGUCUCGCCUCUCUUUGCCCCAUAUCGAUGGCGCCUCGGUGUUGCGGCGGCGUCGAGUGCCUAUAUCGUCCUAAUCUCCUCAAGCCAGGGCCUCGCGCACACCAGCGCCUGCCCCAUCGGGAGCGACCUGCCCACUCACAUGCGCGGCGAGCGCGCCGCCGUCGCCCGGUCGCCGACGUCCUGAUCCACUACGCCGUGACCAUCUUCAUCGUCGACCCCGCCUUCGCCGCCAGGGCAACGGGUCCUUCCUAUCGCUCCAUGGCCUCGCGGCCGAGGUGCCUGGUGCGUCCUUUUGCCGCCUUCCACACCAGCGGCGUGGACAGGGUGGUGUGUACCGGUUCUAGAUGUGGUCGACGCCGACGAGUACCAGGUACAUGUGAUUGAUGCUUUGCUUUUGGCCAUGGAUGCAAUUGGGAACUCAUUCAGUGAGUUGAGGCUACAGGUUUUCAACAUCACGAACUUCGUACUUAUGGAGUGGAGCUACCAAAAUAUCUAGGAGGUAAAAUCACUAUAUACAUAUUGUUUUCCCACGGCUGCAUUAGGAGACGCGCAUCGGCUCACCGAAGUAAACUUAUGUAUUCCUGCUUUUCUGUGUGGACUUCUAUAGGCUUACUGAAGUACAACUUGUUUAUUCUUUCCAGAAAUUAACUCCUUGAUCUUUGAAAUUGUCAAUCUCCAUAUCACAUAGAAGGUGCUCAGUGCAAUGCAAUUGUCCAUCUCUAUAUCACACAGAAGUGAGCCUUUUUGAAGUUGUUUUAUGAAAUAAGGCUUGUAUAAGGUCUGGUCUUUCGGGUAUACAAUCCUUCCUUAAGAAUACUAUACUUGCAGGAGAAUAACAUUUAUUAUAGGAUGCCACUUUGUAAGCUCCCAUUCAGAAAAGUAUACAAUAGCACAUUUGAAAGAUGAGCAUUGGCAGCUCUUCUAAAUCUGUGUUUUCCAUUAAUGAACUACUUAAUUUAAUCAAUAGGCUCACGUCAGUUGCCAUGCUAACUGAAAAUCUAUAUGAUCUCUUCCACGUAGUAUGUCAAAUGAUGCGACUGUCAACCGAAAGUUCUAAAUUGCUGGGGUAAUUGGACCUUAUUAUACCAAUGGAACCAAUGGCCGCAUUAUACGAUGCGACAAUUUCCCACUUUCCAAUCCAGUAUUUCGUUCAACUAUAACUAAUUGUCUCCAAUACUUCAGUUCAAUUCAGAAGUCAUGAUAUGUAUUUUCUAUUCUGAUUUCCAAAUAAUUACUUAAAAGGAAUUCCGAUACAUGCAACAGAAUUCAUUCAUAAUUCAAUUGUGAGAUGCUAUUCGGAGAUGAUCAGAAUAAUCCCUGAAUUCAAUUUCUUUAUUAAACAAAACUGUUGGAUGUUGGAACUUAUCUAUAUGUAUACAAGUGUUUUGAAUGAAAAUAAGGGUCAAAUGCAGGACAUCCAAGGAAUCGGUUGAAUAUUGGAGCGAAUAAUUAGUUGUAGAAAUAAAUUUCUUCCUAUUGUGGCAGCUGCAAUUUUUUUUAUUGUCCAUCAGUUGUGAUUACGACUAUAAAGAGCUAGGAAAGUUUAUUGUCGACCAGCUCUGAUUACGGCAAUCUACAUAAUUUUUUCAUACAAAAUGAGUUAUUUUAAUUUCCACUGUUGGGUCAGUAAGUUAUCUUUUUUAUUUCAAAUUGU